UUCUUUCUAUUUCACAUCUCAAACCACAUUUCCAUUUCUGCCGAAGUGCAAUCUUUUCCCUCUACACAUAUACUCAACCUCCUCCACCCACGAAUCAUCUUCACUUCACCCCACCUCGUGACCAUCGAAGGAAAGGAGAGUGAGAGGGACGUAGCUUCGGUAUCAUCGACAAGAAAAGAAAAGGAGGAAAACCGCGAGCUGAAGUAUUUCUCUGGUUUUGUCCGUGAGCUGAAGGAAAAAAGGAAGAAGUCGUGCGUGAGUUCUCUUCAUUUUCUCUUCAACCUUCAUCAGCUGCAACCAUCUUCCAAUCACGACACCACUGCAGCUGCAACAACCAUUACAGUUCAGACCAACCAAACCCAGAAGCCGUGCGCGAGCCGAGAGCCGAGAGAGGGAAAGUCUCCAGCACCUUGACGUGUGAGUGAGCCUUCAGUGAGGUAAAUUUUCUGGACUGAAAAUGGUUGAUCAGAGGUUGAAUAAG
RNAcentral lists this long non-coding RNA (481 nucleotides) under Coffea arabica (coffee). RNAcentral's name for it is "long non-coding RNA (CARA_LNC007781)". The record is from RNAcentral. Lineage: Eukaryota; Viridiplantae; Streptophyta; Magnoliopsida; Gentianales; Rubiaceae.